UUUAAAACACACUGCUGUGCCCACCCUCAGGGUUUCUGAUUCAGAAAGUCUGGGGUGGAGGCCAGGAAUCUGCAUUUCU
RNAcentral lists this microRNA precursor (79 nucleotides) under Tursiops truncatus (common bottlenose dolphin). RNAcentral describes it as "miRNA (ENSTTRG00000024187.1)". The record is from RNAcentral. Lineage: Eukaryota; Metazoa; Chordata; Mammalia; Artiodactyla; Delphinidae.